This is a long non-coding RNA of Alosa alosa (allis shad), 953 nucleotides long. RefSeq lists it as uncharacterized. Lineage: Eukaryota; Metazoa; Chordata; Actinopteri; Clupeiformes; Clupeidae. The record is from RefSeq and is a predicted model, not a curated record. The transcript has 4 exons.
GACUUUCCAGUAAUUAGUAAGACAAAUGUGUAAAAUCAGGCUCCAACACUGUUAUUUACCACGCCCGUAAUGUUUAUUCUGGAACACACGUACUUCCUGUUAUCUAUUAACGUUAUCUUCGAUCUGGUGAUGGGAAGCUGUCUGCUGAGAGAAGACAAUACGUUGGAAUCAUACCCAAACCCAUCAACACAAUAAGGGAUGUGCGACUGUAGCUGAUGUUGAGUCUUCCAAGCCUACCUGUGACGCCUCGCCUGAUAUUACUAGGUGAACGACAAGGUAAUCAUCAAAAGUGGAUGGUCAGCAUUGAAUCCUUAAUCGUUUGUGAAGGGUCCAACCUCGCCACAUUUCUAACAGGGAUUGCGACAUGUUUCUCCACCUUCUAUAUUCUGAAUCUGCAAUAUCAGGAGGAGGCAGCGUGCACCCUUGAAUUCUUCCAGAAAAAAGGCCCAGAAGAAGCCUAAGAACAAUCACUAAUAAGUAAAGUGAAUGUUACUUGAUUUCUCAUGAAUGUUACUUGAUUCCCUCCCUGAUUAUCAUUUAUACUCAUCUCUUACUUUAAAUUCUUCUGGACAUAAUCUGUCAGUUUAUUCAUUCUCACAUGUACACAAGGCCAAUGCGAUGCAAUGAUAUUGAUAAUUGAUAAAUAUCUGUGAUGAUUAUUCUGUAUCUUAUUUUAUUUUGAAAUAGUACUACUUUAGAUAACAUGCCUACAUUUUACAUACAUAUGUGAUACACGAGCCUAAUGCGAUGUUUUUGUUUUUCAUGAUAAUUCUUCUGUACCUUAUUCCUUGUUUUUUGAAAUAAGAUUUUCAAAAUACUACUAGAUAGCGUGUCUACAUUUUAAACGGGCCUAAUGCAAUGUAUUUGUUUUCCAUUGUAAUUCCUCUGUAUCCGAUUACCUGUUCUUUGAAAUCUGAUUUUCAAAAUACUACUAUGUAUCUACAUUUUACAUU